GCACUAGUAAGAGUCUGUGUUCAAAAACUCCCUCUAGAUAAGAGGUAAGAACAUCUGCCGAGUGUAUAUUUCAUCAGCCUGAUUGCUGAUUACAUGCGUUUGUAAUGUCAGAGAGGGCCUACACUGUAGACCAUUUCCAAGAAUGAUCAACAGGUUUCAUAAGAUGGACGAGGUCACUACCUGGCAGAGCUGCACUGCAGACCGAGGGGUGGAGUUGCUGUGGGUCUAUUUGUUUAGAAUAGUCCAAACAUCCGAGACCUUGGGUCAGGGAGUGGACGCAACCUGCGACGCCUCCCUGCUCUUCAGACCAGCGAAUGAAACCUGCAUCUGCUGCAUCUCUACCAGGACCAGCUCAAACUCCACGUGCCACUGGUGGGAAACAGUAGUGAGGUAAUCUCUAUCUGUCUGGUGAAUCCUGCAAUAUGUGCACAGCAGAGACUGAAGGUGUCCUUAUAAGAGUACCUCACCCCCCUGAGCCCCUGUCGAAAGGAUGGCUGUUGAGGUGCAAACAAGUCAUUGGCCAGAUCUUCCAGAGGAGACCUCAUCUGAACAAACAGCUCCUCCUGCUGGUGGCUCUGGUGCUGGUGGCUCUGUGUUGCAUGGUCCUGCUUCUGCUAUGGAACUAUCAUUGCUUCCUAAUCACAAGAGUGUGCCAGGACCAAGGAAUAGACUACAUCAUUCGCUUUGACGAGGAGGAGAAGGAGGUGGCGGUGGCAGGGGGGCCAUCUUCACAGGAACAAGCCUGAGGGGAGGCCAGCUGUUCGAGAAAAGACUUGUUUUAUACAAGGUCAGAAGGAGAAAAAAGAGAGCGAGAGUGAGUGAGAGACAUUAGACUAUCAGGACUGCUGAAGAUUCUACAUCAUUUUCUACUCACUUCUCAUUUUAUCUUUUAACUGACCUAAGGAUCCCAAUAGUAUAUUGUAAAAAUACAAAAAAAAAAAAGUAUAAUAGUAUACUAUUUUUAGGAAACACGUAAAUAAUUAACAACUUAUAGCUGGUCUGUAGCAAUGGAAAUAAACUGAGCUUUGGAAAUGGAUGCAGAAAAAUUUGAAUUUCCAAAGCCUUUGUCUGUAGUAAAGCAGUGCUGAAACAGAUUGUGCUACUAUUCGAAACAAAAGCAGCAACUACAAAAAGACACAUAAACACAGAUAACUCUGUACUUAUUAAAAGUAUACAUCAAGACUCCCUGAUGCCCGCGAGUCACAUAUAAUCUCCUGGAAUUACGGAAAACGAGUGCCCCAAGAGUGCACUGCACACAAACGCUCACACAGGCCACAGACUUUUUUUCUCUAAUCGCGUGUGGGAAGGAGAGAGAGAAAACAGAGAGGGUUCUGAUUGGCCUGUUCUCUGCAAAGAGUCUGUGAGACAGCCAAUCAGUUUUUAGUGUGGGUGGGCAGUGUUUUCCCCCCCUCCCGGACAGGAAUUGUUCAGUGAGUGAGAGAAAGAUCAUGGAGGAGGCAGGGAAAGCAGAGGCAGGGCCUUCCAAAAAGAAAAAAUAUAAAACUCAUUUCACCUCUGAAUUAAUUAAAAUAAAAGUAAAGUUUCGUUA
Astyanax mexicanus (Mexican tetra) is the source of this 1549-nucleotide long non-coding RNA. RefSeq lists it as uncharacterized. The transcript has 2 exons. The record is from RefSeq and is a predicted model, not a curated record. NCBI's taxonomy places the organism in Eukaryota, Metazoa, Chordata, Actinopteri, Characiformes, Acestrorhamphidae.